RNAcentral lists this ribosomal RNA (1059 nucleotides) under Staphylococcus aureus. RNAcentral's name for it is "partial 23S ribosomal RNA". It matches the Rfam family "Bacterial large subunit ribosomal RNA", at positions 498 to 1561 of the family's 2925-position model. Lineage: Bacteria; Bacillati; Bacillota; Bacilli; Caryophanales; Staphylococcaceae. The record is from RNAcentral.
GUACCGUGAGGGAAAGGUGAAAAGCACCCCGGAAGGGGAGUGAAAUAGAACCUGAAACCGUGUGCUUACAAGUAGUCAGAGCCCGUUAAUGGGUGAUGGCGUGCCUUUUGUAGAAUGAACCGGCGAGUUACGAUUUGAUGCAAGGUUAAGCAGUAAAUGUGGAGCCGUAGCGAAAGCGAGUCUGAAUAGGGCGUUUAGUAUUUGGUCGUAGACCCGAAACCAGGUGAUCUACCCUUGGUCAGGUUGAAGUUCAGGUAACACUGAAUGGAGGACCGAACCGACUUACGUUGAAAAGUGAGCGGAUGAACUGAGGGUAGCGGAGAAAUUCCAAUCGAACCUGGAGAUAGCUGGUUCUCUCCGAAAUAGCUUUAGGGCUAGCCUCAAGUGAUGAUUAUUGGAGGUAGAGCACUGUUUGGACGAGGGGCCCCUCUCGGGUUACCGAAUUCAGACAAACUCCGAAUGCCAAUUAAUUUAACUUGGGAGUCAGAACAUGGGUGAUAAGGUCCGUGUUCGAAAGGGAAACAGCCCAGACCACCAGCUAAGGUCCCAAAAUAUAUGUUAAGUGGAAAAGGAUGUGGCGUUGCCCAGACAACUAGGAUGUUGGCUUAGAAGCAGCCAUCAUUUAAAGAGUGCGUAAUAGCUCACUAGUCGAGUGACACUGCGCCGAAAAUGUACCGGGGCUAAACAUAUUACCGAAGCUGUGGAUUGUCCUUUGGACAAUGGUAGGAGAGCGUUCUAAGGGCGUUGAAGCAUGAUCGUAAGGACAUGUGGAGCGCUUAGAAGUGAGAAUGCCGGUGUGAGUAGCGAAAGACGGGUGAGAAUCCCGUCCACCGAUUGACUAAGGUUUCCAGAGGAAGGCUCGUCCGCUCUGGGUUAGUCGGGUCCUAAGCUGAGGCCGACAGGCGUAGGCGAUGGAUAACAGGUUGAUAUUCCUGUACCACCUAUAAUCGUUUUAAUCGAUGGGGGGACGCAGUAGGAUAGGCGAAGCGUGCGAUUGGAUUGCACGUCUAAGCAGUAAGGCUGAGUAUUAGGCAAAUCCGGUACUCGUUAAGGCUGAGC